GACGAACGCUGGUGGCGUGCUUAACACAUGCAAGUCGAACGGAAAGGCCCUGCUUUUGUGGGGUGCUCGAGUGGCGAACGGGUGAGUAACACGUGAGUAACCUGCCCUUGACUUUGGGAUAACUUCAGGAAACUGGGGCUAAUACCGGAUAGGAGCUCCUGCUGCAUGGUGGGGGUUGGAGAGUUUCGGCGGUUGGGGAUGGACUCGCGGCUUAUCAGCUUGUUGGUGGGGUAGUGGCUUACCAAGGCUUUGACGGGUAGCCGGCCUGAGAGGGUGACCGGCCACAUUGGGACUGAGAUACGGCCCAGACUCCUACGGGAGGCAGCAGUGGGGAAUAUUGCACAAUGGGCGGAAGCCUGAUGCAGCAACGCCGCGUGCGGGAUGACGGCCUUCGGGUUGUAAACCGCUUUCGCCUGUGACGAAGCGUGAGUGACGGUAAUGGGUAAAGAAGCACCGGCUAACUACGUGCCAGCAGCCGCGGUGAUACGUAGGGUGCGAGCGUUGUCCGGAUUUAUUGGGCGUAAAGGGCUCGUAGGUGGUUGAUCGCGUCGGAAGUGUAAUCUUGGGGCUUAACCCUGAGCGUGCUUUCGAUACGGGUUGACUUGAGGAAGGUAGGGGAGAAUGGAAUUCCUGGUGGAGCGGUGGAAUGCGCAGAUAUCAGGAGGAACACCAGUGGCGAAGGCGGUUCUCUGGGCCUUUCCUGACGCUGAGGAGCGAAAGCGUGGGGAGCGAACAGGCUUAGAUACCCUGGUAGUCCACGCUGUAAACGGUGGGUACUAGGUGUGGGGUCCAUUCCACGGGUUCCGUGCCGUAGCUAACGCUUUAAGUACCCCGCCUGGGGAGUACGGCCGCAAGGCUAAAACUCAAAGGAAUUGAUGGGGCCCCGCACAAGCGGCGGAGCAUGCGGAUUAAUUCGAUGCAACGCGUAGAACCUUACCUGGGUUUGACAUGGAUCGGGAGUGCUCAGAGAUGGGUGUGCCUCUUUUGGGGUCGGUUCACAGGUGGUGCAUGCCUGUCGUCAGCUCGUGUCGUGAGAUGUUGGGUUAAGUCCCGCAACGAGCGCAACCCUUGUUCACUGUUGCCAGCACGUUAUGGUGGGGACUCAGUGGAGACCGCCGGGGUCAGCUCGGAGGAAGGUGGGGAUGACGUCAAGUCAUCAUGCCCCUUAUGUCCAGGGCUUCACGCAUGCUACAAUGGCUGGUACAGAGAGUGGCGAGCCUGUGAGGGUGAGCGAAUCUCGGAAAGCCGGUCUCAGUUCGGAUUGGGGUCUGCAACUCGACCUCAUGAAGUCGGAGUCGCUAGUAAUCGCAGAUCAGCAACGCUGCGGUGAAUACGUUCCCGGGGCU
This 1346-nucleotide ribosomal RNA is filed under the name uncultured bacterium. RNAcentral's name for it is "partial 16S ribosomal RNA". It matches the Rfam family "Bacterial small subunit ribosomal RNA", at positions 28 to 1381 of the family's 1533-position model. The record is from RNAcentral.